AAAUAAUAUAACUUUGUUUUUUUAUUAGAAUUUAGUCAUAACAGUCGAACUCUGACCUUUAAUGAAUUAGAUUAACAUCAUUUUAAGGUUGUCAUAUUUGAAAGUAAAACUCUAACUUAUGAACUUUUCAUUUUGGUUAUCCUUUUGAUAGGUCCUCCAAAAUAGAUUAUUGUUAGUGUGACGAGAUGAGUUUGAGUUUGUGGAAGAAGAUGAAAUAGGCGGGUUUAAGAGACAAAGUAUUUG
Molecule: long non-coding RNA, 243 nt
Filed under: Vigna radiata
Lineage: Eukaryota; Viridiplantae; Streptophyta; Magnoliopsida; Fabales; Fabaceae
Description: long non-coding RNA (VRAD_LNC007373)
Source: RNAcentral